This 72-nucleotide transfer RNA is filed under the name Pseudocercospora pini-densiflorae CBS 125139. RNAcentral describes it as "tRNA-Thr (AGT) (tRNA-Thr-AGT-2-1, tRNA-Thr-AGT-2-2)". It matches the Rfam family "tRNA". Rfam says of the family: Transfer RNA (tRNA) molecules are approximately 80 nucleotides in length. Their secondary structure includes four short double-helical elements and three loops (D, anti-codon, and T loops). The record is from RNAcentral. Lineage: Eukaryota; Fungi; Ascomycota; Dothideomycetes; Mycosphaerellales; Mycosphaerellaceae.
GCCCUCUUAGCUCAGGGGUAGAGCGCGUCACUAGUAAUGACGAGGUCAUUGGUUCGAAUCCAGUAGAGGGCA